GAACCUGAUAAAUCCAUGUCGAAAUAAGGUACAUUUUUACCCAACCGUUUGUGAAGUCGUUGGCCAACGCACUCCAAUUGGCUUAAUAAUGGCAAAGGGUUAGCUGACGUUUCUACCAGGGUAGCACUAGAAAAUGCACACGAGCACAUCAUACCUGUGCUAAUGUAAAACAUGGUUUAACUGCCUCCUAAUAAGGAUUAAAACUAAAAUGGAUAAAGAUCGUCCGGAUAUAUCCUGCAGGUGAUGGUAGUAUACCUAUAUAAGUAUAUAGAUAUUUAUUGAUAUUUUUUUUAAUGUUUAUGCACGCGUCAGAAAUAACAGAAAGGGGUGAGAGGCUUUUGCGAAAAAAAUGAGAUUUAUAAUGUAAGCGGCGUGACUGUACACAUCGGUGAACAUUUUGAGUUUUCGCUCGGAAGAACCAGAGCGAAAAGCGGAAGCUGAACUGAGACUCUUAUAAUUUUACUUAGGAGAAGCCCUAGCUGUUUUUUUGAUGAUGGACAUCAACUGCGGACAGUCUGUUUUCUUGCUUGAUAGGAAAAACGAGCUAAAUAAGCUUACGUAAGAGAGGGUAUUCACAUUCUGUAAAAGUUUAUUUAUAACUACGAAUAUGAUGUUUUCCAGUAAUAUAACGGUACUUCAAUUAAAAAUCCCCGCUUUUAUCAGUGCUUCAAUAUUGUAUUUUCUAUCCCGCCAGAUAUUGAUCUUGAUCGAAUGCGCUAUAAACACGCAGAAGUGAUAUAAGUAGCAGAUAAAGAAAUGUAUAUAUAAAAGCACACAGCAGAUUUCAAAAUGAUCAGACUGUAAAGUAUCUUGAAAUCAUCAACACACUACCAGACCAAUUUCACUAACCGCCAAAAUGAGUCAAACUCUUACCUACCUUUUGCUCUUGGUCGUCCUUAUCGCCUGUCUGACUAAUGGCGCUGUUGCGGCGGCUGAAUGGGGAUGCAGCAGCAACAGCGAAUGCGGAACGUGCAGCUGUACUGGUGGAUAUUGCGUCUGUCCCGAUAGAGUGGUCUAAAUCAGCUGAGAAGCCUUAUCGUCCUUUUAUUGAUUGAUUUCGAGAAGAACAAUGUAGCUUUAUAACUUGAUUAAUUUUUCUAAUCCACUAAAAUAAAUGAUUUAUAUUAUUCCAUAAA
Molecule: long non-coding RNA, 1136 nt
Organism: Nasonia vitripennis (jewel wasp)
Lineage: Eukaryota; Metazoa; Arthropoda; Insecta; Hymenoptera; Pteromalidae
Exons: 2
Source: RefSeq, a predicted model, not a curated record